GACGAACGCUGGCGGCGCGCCUAACACAUGCAAGUCGAACGAGCGAGAGAGAGCUUGCUUUCUCGAGCGAGUGGCGAACGGGUGAGUAACGCGUGAGGAACCUGCCUCAAAGAGGGGGACAACAGUUGGAAACGACUGCUAAUACCGCAUAAGCCCACGGGUCGGCAUCGACCAGAGGGAAAAGGAGCAAUCCGCUUUGAGAUGGCCUCGCGUCCGAUUAGCUAGUUGGUGAGGUAACGGCCCACCAAGGCAACGAUCGGUAGCCGGACUGAGAGGUUGAACGGCCACAUUGGGACUGAGACACGGCCCAGACUCCUACGGGAGGCAGCAGUGGGGAAUAUUGCACAAGGGGGGAAACCCUGAUGCAGCGACGCCGCGUGGAGGAAGAAGGUCUUCGGAUUGUAAACUCCUGUUGUUGGGGAAGAUAAUGACGGUACCCAACAAGGAAGUGACGGCUAACUACGUG
RNAcentral lists this ribosomal RNA (466 nucleotides) under uncultured bacterium. Its description in RNAcentral is "partial 16S ribosomal RNA". It matches the Rfam family "Bacterial small subunit ribosomal RNA", at positions 28 to 507 of the family's 1533-position model. The record is from RNAcentral.